UCGUGAGAUGUUGGGUUAAGUCCNGCAACGAGCGCAACCCCUAUCUUUAGUUGCCAUCAGGUUGGGNUGGGCACUCUAGAGAGACUGCCGGUGACAAGCCGGAGGAAGGUGGGGAUGACGUCAAGUCCUCAUGGCCCUUAUGUCCUGGGCUACACACGUGCUACAAUGGCGGUGACAGUGGGAAGCUAGGUGGUGACACCAUGCUGAUCUCUAAAAGCCGUCUCAGUUCGGAUUGCACUCUGCAACUCGAGUGCAUGAAGGUGGAAUCGCUAGUAAUCGCGGAUCAGCAUGCCGCGGUGAAUACGUUCCCGGGUCUUGUACACAC
This 325-nucleotide ribosomal RNA is filed under the name uncultured bacterium. RNAcentral's name for it is "bacterial SSU rRNA". It matches the Rfam family "Bacterial small subunit ribosomal RNA", at positions 1065 to 1390 of the family's 1533-position model. The record is from RNAcentral.